Molecule: ribosomal RNA, 274 nt
Filed under: uncultured bacterium
Lineage: Bacteria
Description: partial 16S ribosomal RNA
Rfam family: Archaeal small subunit ribosomal RNA
Source: RNAcentral
AAACCAGCACCUCAAGUGGUCAGGAUGAUUAUUGGGCCUAAAGCAUCCGUAGCCUGCUCUGUAAGUUUUCGGUUAAAUCUGUACGCUCAACGUACAGGCUGUCGGGAAUACUGCAGAGCUAGGGAGUGAGAGAGGUAGACGGUACUCGGGAGGAAGUGGUAAAAUGCUUUGAUCUCUCGAUGACCACCUGUGGCGAAGGCGGUCUACCAGAACACGUCCGACGGUGAGGGAUGAAAGCUGGGGGAGCAAACCGAAUUAGAAACCCGAGUAGUCC